RNAcentral lists this transfer RNA (64 nucleotides) under Platynereis massiliensis. RNAcentral's name for it is "tRNA-Asn". Lineage: Eukaryota; Metazoa; Annelida; Polychaeta; Phyllodocida; Nereididae. The record is from RNAcentral.
UAAGUUGAAGCCAACAAGGCAUUUAUUUGUUACAUAAACCACUGCUAUAAUCUAGCCUUCUUAA